This 494-nucleotide ribosomal RNA is filed under the name uncultured bacterium. Its description in RNAcentral is "partial 16S ribosomal RNA". It matches the Rfam family "Bacterial small subunit ribosomal RNA", at positions 28 to 507 of the family's 1533-position model. The record is from RNAcentral.
GACGAACGCUGGCGGCGUGCUUAACACAUGCAAGUCGAACGGAGAGGCCUGCUUUCCCUUGUGGAUUGCGGGUACUCGAGUGGCGAACGGGUGAGUAACACGUGAGUGAUCUGCCCCCAACUUGGGUAUAAGCCUGGGAAACUGGGUCUAAUUCCCGAUAGGACUGCAGGGUGGUGCCUGUGGUGGAAAACGAUUUUCUAGUGGUUGGGGAUGAGCUCGCGGCCUAUCAGCUUGUUGGUGGGGUAAUGGCCUACCAAGGCGGCGACGGGUAGCCGGCCUGGGAGAGUGGACGGCCACAUUGGGACUGAGAUACGGCCCAGACGCCUACGGGAGGCAGCAGUGGGGAAUAUUGCACAAUGGGCGGAAGCCUGAUGCAGCGACGCCGCGUGGGGGAUGACGGCCUUCGGGUUGUAAACUCCUUUCGACCGCGAGGAAGCCACCUGGUUGGAAGGGUGGUGACGGUAGUGGUAGAAGAAGCACCGGCUAACUACGUG